Molecule: ribosomal RNA, 631 nt
Filed under: Gongronella butleri
Lineage: Eukaryota; Fungi; Mucoromycota; Mucoromycetes; Mucorales; Cunninghamellaceae
Description: LSU rRNA
Rfam family: Eukaryotic large subunit ribosomal RNA
Source: RNAcentral
ACGGCGAGUGAAGAGGGAAAAGCUCAAGUUUGGAAGCUUCGUGGCAUAGCUACGACGCGUUGUAAACUGAAGUUUUUUGGGUGAUUGGGCGACCGGAUAAAUAAGUCCUUUGGAAAGGGGCAACAUAGAGGGUGACAUUCCCGUCUUUGGUCCGAGUCAGUGCAGUCGCUGCCCAGGAAACGACGAGUCAGGUUGUUUGGGAAUGCAGCCUAAAAUGGGAGGUAAAUCUCUCCUAAAGCUAAAUACUGGCGUAAGACCGAUAGCGAACAAGUACCGUGAGGGAAAGAUGAAAAGGACUUUGAAAAGAGGGUCAAAUAGUACGUGAAAUUGUUGAAAGGGAACCGUAUGAAAGUAGACUGGCUUGGUGAUGAUCAAUGUGUGUUUCGGCACGCAUGCACUCAUUGCCUUUGCCAGCCAGCGGCAGUUUUUGCUAAAGGAAGAAAAUCAGGGGAAUGUAGCUUCGAUUUCGGUUGAAGUGUUAUAGCUCCUGGUAAAAUACUUUGGCAGAGACUGAGGCUAGCAGCGGAUCUUUGGGAACUUUGCGCGCUUGUCGUCCAAUGGUUAAGUUUUCUUCGGAUGCUUGGUCAUUGGGUGGCAACUCGUGUGAUGCUUCACCCUUCCGCUUAGGUCG